Molecule: RNA transcript, 2749 nt
Organism: Hyla sarda
Lineage: Eukaryota; Metazoa; Chordata; Amphibia; Anura; Hylidae
Exons: 3
Source: RefSeq, a predicted model, not a curated record
AACUGCUGUUUACUUUCUGCUGGCGACCGACGUGACUGGACCGAGGUCUACAGGCUGAAGGAGAACUGCGGAGAUGGCGUCUACUGGACAUGGAGAAGAUGGAGAGGAGGUGAAGAGGAAGAGAGAAGACAAGAGGAAGGAGGAAGAAGAAGGUGAAGAUGGAGUCAAGAGGAGGAGAGGAGAUGACGAUGGAGGAUCAGAGGAUGAGGAGCCAACACCUGGGAUGGUGUCCACUGGACAUGGAGAAGAUGGCGAGGAGGAGAAGAGGAAGAGGGAAGAGGAAGGCGAGGAUGGAGUCAAGAGAAGGAGAGGAGACGACAAUGGAGGAUCGGAGGAUGAGGAGCCAACACCUGGGAUGGCGUCCACUGGACAUGGAGAAGAUGGCGAGGAGGAGAAAAGGAAGAGCAGAGGCAAGAGGAAGAGGGAAGAGGAAGGCGAGGAAGGAGUCAAGAGGAGGAGAGGAGACGGCGAUGGAGGAUCAGAGGAUGAGGAGCCAACACCUGGGAUGGCGUCCACUGGACAUGGAGAAGAUGGCGAGGAGAAGAGGAAGAGUGAAGGCAAGAGGAAGAGGGAAGAGGAAGGCGAGGAUGGAGUCAAGAGGAGGAGAGGAGACGGCGAUGGAGGAUCAGAGGAUGAGGAGCCAACACCUGGGAGCAGCCAAGGAACAUUGGGCACCUACCCCAGACUAACGGUCAGCAGCUACCAUCUUCACCAGCUCCUGGGUAGGGGCAACUUUGGCAAAACCUAUAAAAGACUCCCUGAAGGGCCUACACUUGGGACUAGGUGUGAACGGAUCCCUUGGGGCGCGUCCAUGUACUGUGUUCUGGUAGAUGGUAGAUGGAAGUCGGGGUGCCCAAGAUGGUAGAAAACCAGACGCAGGGAGAAGAGGAGAAGAUACAAUGGGGUCUUUACUUCUGGAGCAGGGUGUAAAUGGUAUCCAUACAUGGACCUCUAUAGCUUCAUUACAAUCUUACAGAAACCUACUUGGAUCAGGAGAUGAGAACCACACUGAUCCCAACCAACUCAAAGACAUGUCUAUUCAUUUUUCAAAUUAUUAAUAGAGUUGGGAGAUAAAGUAAGUGAACCCCCUGGAAUUCCCUCUAUUUGUGCAUUAAAGGGGUACUCCGCUACUAGACGUCUUAUCUCCUAUCCAAAGGAUAGGGGAUAAGAUGUCUGAUCGCGGGAGUCCCGCUGCUGAGGCUCCCUGCAAUCUUCUCGCAGCAGUGGUCUUGACGUCACGCUAUGCCCCCUCCAUUCAUGUCUAUGGGAGGGGGGAAUUGUCGACUGACACACCCCCUCCCAUAGACAUGAAUUGAGGGGCCAUAACGUGACAUCACAAGGGGACAUGGCAGUGACGUCACGAUCACGGGCUCCGGCUCUGAGCGUUCUGAACAAAAUGUCCCUUUAACUACUAAUAAGAUUUGUUCCCCAAAAAUGUAAGUGAAUUCUUCUGAUUCAGAACAAAUUACUUGUUAUACCUCCGGGAUGUUGUCCUGUGACUGACCAUGUCCGGCUCUCCUCCUUUUGGAUCAUCUGUGAACAGAUGUUGGAAUUCUGUGUUCAUAUGGAUCCAUAUGUCCUGAUCCUGGCACAAGUAUCUUUACUUGGAGAACUUGACCCGCUGUAUUUGUAGGGAUACAUCCCCCAUUGGUGCUUCUGGAUGACGCAUUCUCAUCCUCUUUCUCAAUGAGGAUACUAUUUUUCUUUCUGGAUCCAUCAUUUCUGUAGGGAUUUCUGCCCAUUUUUGAGACUAUUUAUCAUGUUGGACCCAAGAAUUCCAUGGUAAUAAUUUCAUACAUUUUUUGGACCAUUGUUUAUAUUGAUGGGAUCCCCUUCUUUUGCCUUUUCUACUUUCCCUAUUUCACAGGGACUGUAACACUAAUCUGGUAAUCUUUGUCCAUUGAAGAAAACUGCAGUACCACAAAGUGGACUAUUCUGCACAGGAAUAUUCAUAUAUUGAGUGAAUUUUUGAAAAAUUUGAUUCAGUUGAUUUGCCGAAUUUACUUGCAGCGAAUCUGUAUAAAAAAAUGGCUAUUUCUGGCCUACAGAGAGCCUCAAAAGGGGUGUAGAACACUUUGCCUUACAGUAACACGCAUAGGGUGUGUGCUGGGUUAGUGAAAUAAUACUGUUAUUCAGUAUGACAUGCAGAUUAGAGGCGUCACUAUUAGAAUCACUGUCACAUCAAUAGCCUGAGAGUGUGGAGAUGGAAGUGGUGUGCCCUGUCCAAGUUGCUGUUGUGGCCCACCUUCUCUUCCACAAAAUUGUGCAGGACUGGUACUGCCUUCUUCGCAAAGAAAUGACUGCUUGGGACUCUUCACCUCGGCUCAGCACAAGCCAUCAGUUUUUUGAAAGGUGCCGAGUCCACCACUUGAAAAGGGAGGGACUGCAGCACCAGCAACUUGAACAGGAGCACAUUCAGCUUCUGCGCCAUUGGAUUGGAGUGGGAGCAUAAUGUUGUCUCUUGGACAUGGCUUCGCCAAUGGAUUGCUGGCGGAAUGACUGUCUUGAAGUAGGAAGAGCAGGAGCAUCUGGAGCGACAUAAGAUAGGUAUGACACACAGCUCCCUUUGGCUGAGGUGGUGGAGCCUUGGCUGGCUGAAACAAGGAGCGGCGUGCCACUGGAUGAUGCAGCAGGCUGGACCACCACAUCGGAGCCACCGUUCUCCAUGGCCGCUUUUUUGGUGACACAGCAUGUGUGUACGCAGGGCCGUGGUGCCAACAUUGGGACCCUGGCCUUGCUUCACCUUCUG